GGGCUCUUAGCUCAGCUGGUUUAGAGCAUCUGCCUUACAAGCAGAGGGUCGGCGGUUCGAAUCCGUCAGGGCCCA
Molecule: transfer RNA, 75 nt
Filed under: Porphyromonas cangingivalis
Lineage: Bacteria; Pseudomonadati; Bacteroidota; Bacteroidia; Bacteroidales; Porphyromonadaceae
Also listed under: 1 other name
Rfam family: tRNA
About the family: Transfer RNA (tRNA) molecules are approximately 80 nucleotides in length. Their secondary structure includes four short double-helical elements and three loops (D, anti-codon, and T loops). Further hydrogen bonds mediate the characteristic L-shaped molecular structure. tRNAs have two regions of fundamental functional importance: the anti-codon, which is responsible for specific mRNA codon recognition, and the 3' end, to which the tRNAs corresponding amino acid is attached (by aminoacyl-tRNA synthetases). tRNAs cope with the degeneracy of the genetic code in two manners: having more than one tRNA (with a specific anti-codon) for a particular amino acid; and 'wobble' base-pairing, i.e. permitting non-standard base-pairing at the 3rd anti-codon position.
Source: Rfam by way of RNAcentral